RNAcentral lists this ribosomal RNA (427 nucleotides) under uncultured bacterium. RNAcentral describes it as "partial 16S ribosomal RNA". It matches the Rfam family "Bacterial small subunit ribosomal RNA", at positions 355 to 774 of the family's 1533-position model. The record is from RNAcentral.
UGGGGAAUAUUGGACAAUGGGCGAAAGCCUGAUCCAGCCAUGCCGCGUGUGUGAAGAAGGUCUUCGGAUUGUAAAGCACUUUAAGUUGGGAGGAAGGGCAUUAACCUAAUACGUUAGUGUUUUGACGUUACCGACAGAAUAAGCACCGGCUAACUCUGUGCCAGCAGCCGCGGUAAUACAGAGGGUGCAAGCGUUAAUCGGAAUUACUGGGCGUAAAGCGCGCGUAGGUGGUUUGUUAAGUUGGAUGUGAAAUCCCCGGGCUCAACCUGGGAACUGCAUUCAAAACUGACUGACUAGAGGAUGGUAGAGGGUGGUGGAAUUUCCUGUGUAGCGGUGAAAUGCGUAGAUAUAGGAAGGAACACCAGUGGCGAAGGCGACCACCUGGACUAAUACUGACACUGAGGUGCGAAAGCGUGGGGAGCAAACA